Long non-coding RNA from Tribolium madens (black flour beetle), 3716 nucleotides. RefSeq lists it as uncharacterized. NCBI's taxonomy places the organism in Eukaryota, Metazoa, Arthropoda, Insecta, Coleoptera, Tenebrionidae. The record is from RefSeq and is a predicted model, not a curated record. The transcript has 5 exons.
UUAUUCUUGGUUGCAUAUGGUUGAGAGCUCUCUUUGGAUCGAUCGAAAUCGUUCAUCGCUUGCUUCGUCUGCGAAGUCGACAAGUCGAAUCAGUCCAGUUGGGUCAAUUGAAGAAGCUACCAAGACACACUGUGCCACCAUCUGAGGCCAGAGCUGUCAACCCAAAGCAGUUCGAUUGUUCAAUUGCCUAGUCAUGAGCUUUGACUUGCACAUUACUCUCCUGAAAUUGACUGACGCGCUGGUGGCUGCCCGUAAAACUGAGAGCAAAUCAAGCAAACAUAUUUCAAGGACGAGCCAUAAAAAUGGAGAAUUUCAUUGUAAGGUAGAAUGCCUGCAAGGGCGAUACUGGGGCAGAGAUGAGCUCCACGUGUUGCUGAGGAGGGGUUUUUAGUGGGUAGUCCCGAGCCGGACCUCAUUGAACAAUGCAUGAAAACAAAAGGUUGGCUCCUGAAAAAACAGAGGUCGUUAUGCUAGCUGGCGGGAGAUGUCCACAGAAAAACCUAUCCUUUAGGGUAGAGGAAACCACUCUGAAACCACAGAAAAAGUCAAAUACUUAGGUGUUGAUAUAGACCAAAAGAUGUUAUUCACUCACCAUGAGACAAGAGUGGCGAGGAAAGCUGAAACAUUAACAGUUACCUUGAGCCGCUUGAUGCUGAAUGUCCGAAGUUCGUCACCCCCAAACAGGAAAGUGCUGAUGGAAGUAGCACCGGAAUGAAGAAAUACAAGCAAAGACUUGAAGGGAUACAGAGUAAAGCAGCACUGCAUUCUAAAAAUGGUAACAUAUUUUGAUAUACUCGUAACCAAUUUUUGUAAUCUGCUAUGUCUAAGAUGCGUUACGAUCGUUCCGAUAAAAAAAUCUUUUUCUCCAACUGUCAUGAUAGCUCAGCGUUUGACCGAGCGAGAUCGAUCCAUUCUUAUUCAUUUUUUACCAAAUUUAAAUUUAAAAUUUUCUUCUACUUCUGUUGAACAACACCCCUUUGCUUAUGCUCACAGAACAUGUGAGCUUUUUGCUUUGCUUAUGUCUGCGAAAGUCUUCAAAAACCGUAAAUUUGUUUCUAAAGAUCAUGUUCUGGAUACCUCUUAAAUAUGUCAAUUUUUCAGCCUCUAAACUUUUUAUUUCUUACUUCAACCAUUGUUAAAUAUAUUAUUUUUGUCAUUAAAAAUUUUUUCGUCUUUCUCUUUCUUUAUUGUAUCUUGGUUUCAUUGUUUUCUUUAGAACCUUAAUUUUUGAAAUUUUAAAUUAAAUUAGUCCUAAAAAUUUUCAAUAUGUUCUGCUUUAAAAUUGUUAAAUUCACAAUUUUUCGGCUCUAUUAUCCAGAUCAUUUAUAGAGCAAAUACAAAAUUUAACAUUGCCCGUUCCUGACAAAUUCUACUUUUUCGUAAAAAAUACUUCUUAUGUUUUCCCAAAUGUUAACAACAACUUCUCCACAAUUUUUUUUUUUCAAAUUAUUUUACCUUUACGACCUCCAAAUCUUUUCAACUUUUUCCUCAGUUAAUCAAUUUAAUCAAUAUUCUAAAUACCUCGCUUACGAGGAUUAUUGCGGUUAUUAUAUAUGUUAGCAUUCUCACCCCUGAGUCUACUGUUACAUCACUAUCGUCUCAUGGUCAGGACGAACCUGAUGACUCACGGGAACUUAACACGCAUAAGUCCGAUCGCUUGUCUUGCAUAACAUUGUUAAAAAAUAAGCCAGUCGAGAAUAAAGAGUUGGGCUAUAUAACAUUAUCCUUUUUGAUAACAUCAGAUUGAAAAUUCUAACGUGAAUUUACCACCCUCACCGCGAUAGUGACGUGAACACCAGUGGUGAAACAAAAAUUUUAUUGAAAAAGAAAAUGAUGUUUUCAGCUCGCUUGUCAAAGAUAUUUAUUUACUCUUCCCACAAUAAUAUGAAUAUAUUUUAUUUUAUUCUAACCUGAGGAUGACCACUUUGUGGUUGAAACGCGUUGUGUUUGAAAUAAAAGUUUGGUGUGACGGGUUUACACAACCCCGGUCUCUGCCGAGAAAGAAAUAAAACAUAAAAGCAGAUUUUUUGUUUUUUGUACUUGAAAUUCGAGAGAGAGCCUUCAGAAAUUCCAAAAUUACCGUGUGUAUGCGUAAGCUUUUUGAAGCUAUUUAUCAAUCUUCUCCGUCUCUUAUCAGCACUCAACAAUCUAUAGUUAUUUACAAAUUGAUACCAGGUUUUCAAUUAAAAGUUUUAUUAAAACGAAGACUACAUUUAGAAAACCAGUAGUCGUGGAUUGUGGUGAAUUUAAAACACCUCUCUCGUAACGCUUCACUGAAAAAUUUAGUGAAACAGUUAUUCAAACUUUAAACAAUAUAUUGAAACAAGGAAAAAACAUUUACAUGGUUAGUGAAGGUAUAGUUGUAAGAACAACCAAUAUCAAGUUUAUUGAACAGUCAGAGGAAUAAGUUAUCUUGAAUCUACACGUGAAAAAAUAUGCCAGUCCCAAUCUUUCAUCGAGAAAAAUUAACAUUCUCUCUACAAACGUGAUUAAGCCUGCUGAUCCGGUCGUUGAGGUGCAUGAUGAAAGAAGCCUGGCGAGUUCUAUCACCAUAGAUCCGCAAUUAAUAAGUGACAUUGAUUUUAACGACAUCGAAAAGCAGUUUAAGAUGCAUUUAGAAGAGGACUCGUCUGAUGCCUUUACCACCCAACCACCAUCGAACAGGGGUAAAGGGCGAGCAAAGGGGAAAGGAAAACAGUUAUAUAAAAGGUCCUCUUCGACGUGCCGUGCCCUGUCGCCAUCUCCCUCAUCAACGUUUUCACUGAUUGAUGAGGAUGAGACGAUGAAGAUGGAUACGGAGGUAGACAGAAUGGCAACAGAUUUAAAAAACCAAAUCUGUAAUAAAUUCAAAAAUGUUGUCAAACAAAAUUUAUUAAUUGAAACUAAAAUAAAAAAAAUAGACAAAUAUAUAGCAUAUAAAAAUAAAUUAAUGGGGUUGGGUUAAGCAAACAAUAAAGAAAAGGUUGGGACUCAACGCUCAUCCAAGGAAGUUAACAUUAUUUCAAAUGUUAUUAUUAAACAUCCAACAAGAAGGGCUGCAGUGAAAAACCUUUCGCUCAUACGAGAAGUAGAAGAAGAGGCUUCAUUAUCUGAAUAUGAGAAACUUGAGCAAAUGAUUAAAAAAACUGCAGCUGCAUACCCAUACACGGUUGAGGUUGCAGCGAAGUUUUAAAAAUCGUAUAAACGUUAUUUGCAAGACUCGAGUUUGUGCGCAGAAAGUCAUCAACAACCUGUUGAAAAAAGAAGAUGAAUAUAAGCGAAAAUUAGAUGAAAUUCAAACAAGUCAAAAAGUUUAUAGUUUUUUUGUUUAGAAAAGCCAUGGGUUAUUAAAAACCAUGUUUUUCAGUAAAGAAGGGAAUGGAUGUGAAGGGCUAAAAAACCCUAUUUAAUUUUUGUAAAGAUUUUCAGCCCAAAGCAGUUCGAUUGUUCAAUGAAUAGUCAUGAAAUGUACGUUUUAAUUUAUUUUUCCCAAUUCUGUGACGGGCUAAAAAGUCCUUUUUACUUUUGUGAAGACUCAGAGUCAGUCUUAUUCAGUUACUAUAUAUUAUAUUACUACAAAAGAAGUUAAGAGACCAAGUUAGGGUCAUUGCCUUGAAUUCUAGAACAUUCAAUCUUAAUAAUGAAACGGUAAUAAUACGGUAUUCAUUAACAAAUUAUUAAAUUAAUUAUAUAUUAUAUAUUUAUUAUAUUAAAAGAAACAUGCAAACAAUUUUUGU